This is a long non-coding RNA of Lutra lutra (Eurasian river otter), 1600 nucleotides long. RefSeq lists it as uncharacterized. Lineage: Eukaryota; Metazoa; Chordata; Mammalia; Carnivora; Mustelidae. The transcript is spliced from 7 exons. The record is from RefSeq and is a predicted model, not a curated record.
UCUCCCACUUCCCUCUCUCUCCACCUUCUCACCUAUUCCCCACCCCAUGGAGAAAAUUCUUUCUCCCGGCAGCAGCUUGUGCACGCGUGAUUUCGAAGCAGAGGAAACAAGUGCGCGCACGUGCGUGUGCGUGCGAGCGUGCGAGUUUGGUGUGGAAUGGCGCUGAGUGGGGAGGGAGAGGGGAUUUGCGGGACCACCAGAUCUUUGGACGGCCUCUCUGAAGGCACAGCUUUAAUUCUGGGCGAGAAAGAAGAUGGGGACACAGAAGCUGUGAGGAGAUAAAUCACCUUCCAAAUGUCACAUAACAGGUUUGGGCCCUCAUGGGUGACAGAAAAGUCUCACAGUACUGGUUCCUGUUUGAACACACAUGUUCGCUGGGUCUCGCCUUGCAGCGGGAAGACAGAGAAGGCUGGAAUCACCGCAUUCCCACAGCAAGGGCAAUCUUUAAAGGCAGUAAGGUGUGACGCUCCAGACUGGCAGCUUGGCAAGACGGAGCCCAUGGAUACCAGCACACGGGAAUCUGGACCGUUCACUCUGACAGCAGUCAGCACUGGGAACAAAAGGAAUGGAGGGAAAAAAGCGCAAAUGUAUUUUUACAUAUUGUAGGCAUAUGGCCACAAGACCAGCAGAAAUAUAUUUAAUUACCAAUUGCGCGCAUUGAGGAGAAAAACACUAGGAAGGAAAAAAAAACUGUGUACACAGCAAUAUUAUUCUACUUUAACUUUUCACCUCCUUUUUUUUUUUAAAUUGAAGAUAAAAGGGAUGUGGAUUAGAAUGGAAAAGGGUUAUCUAUUGGAAUCCUAUGAAAGGUGAUGAGGGUUUUUCAUGCGCCUUCCUCAAUAGCGUAACAUUGUGGUGGGAAAUAGCAACCUCCAGCUGUCUGCCUCCUGUCUAUUCAGAAGCUUUUGGUGAUGAAGGUAGAGCCCAUAAGAAGGAAACUGCUGCAUGAACUCACCAGCACAGGCAGGCAAUCUGCAGGUUAACACAUUCCACAGCAUUGAUCCCCUGUGAGGACCCAGGCUCAGAGAUGGAUGCUUGCUUGCUGGACAAAGUUUGUCUCUGGUGUCCCUUAAAAAUACCUAGAACAGGACCUCUUUCUGAAGACUGUACAGUGUUCAGAGUGGGAUGCAAAGGAGAGCUCUGUAUCCAGGAAUCUUGUCCAGGUGCCCAGGGUUGGUGACCUAGCCACCCCAGCCAUCUAGGCUGAAUAGUCACCCAGGUGACCUGACAAAUACCUCUGCCAAAUGGAGAUGCUUGAAUCUGGUUAGAAGCUGAAGAUUCAAUCAGCCAUUGUUCAAGAUUAACAAAGAUAGUAGGUGACCAGAAUCCGUGAGUCAUCAGAAACCUUGAGGCAGAGACUACAGGAAGAGUCUGUUGGUAGUGGAGACAUCUUAGCAAAUAGCAGCUAUGUGAGGCUGUGUGGCCAUAAUGGCAGGUCCCUGGAAGGAGCAUCAGAAGUUUACCUGCCAUGGAGAGGAAAGGGAAACCAGGUGACUCAACCUGGCUUGUGUCUUAAAAGUUGAUCCAGGGUCCAUGGGUGUGACUUGGAGGCUGUUUUCUGCAUUCUUCAGUUUCUGCGUUCAACCUUAUAAGAAACCCU